GCAAACUUGGUCAUUUAGAGGAAGUAAAAGUCGUAACAAGGUUUCCGUAGGUGAACCUGCGGAAGGAUCAUUACAGUGUCUUGGAGGCCGGUCGGCGCCCGCUCCCCCUCGGGGGGGUUGGCGCGGCCGUCGCCCCCUCCACACGUGUCUACCACACCAUGUUGCCUUGGUGGGUCUGCCCCCGUGGCUGCCGGGGAUCACCGCUGGUGUCCCGGGCCUGAACCCACCGAUGGAACCCCUGAACUCUCUGUGAAUCUAGUGUGUCUGAGCGUUAAGCGAAUUGAACAAAACUUUCAACAAUGGAUCUCUUGGUUCUGGCAUCGAUGAAGAACGCAGC
Molecule: unclassified non-coding RNA, 337 nt
Filed under: uncultured fungus
Lineage: Eukaryota; Fungi
Description: partial contains small subunit ribosomal RNA, internal transcribed spacer 1, and 5.8S ribosomal RNA
Rfam family: Eukaryotic small subunit ribosomal RNA (bases 1-73)
Source: RNAcentral